AAUGGAUAUACAGGUAAUGGUGUUACACAGUGUGAACGGGUAAUCGAAACUGGCUGCACAGAGAAUUCGUGUCCAGCAAAUACUGAAUGUAACAAUGUAGGAAAUACUUUUAAAUGUUCAUGUGCCCAGGGAUACACAGAAAAUUGGUAUGGUUCUGAGUUAUCGUGCACAGAGACCUGUGUAGUUAACACCAGCAUUUGCCAUCCAUCGGCUCAGUGUGUGACUGAUACGUCAGGACAUUAUGUUUGUCAAUGUAGACAAGGAUACAUAGGAAAUGGUUAUUAUUGCAAAG
This is a long non-coding RNA of Rhopalosiphum padi (bird cherry-oat aphid), 292 nucleotides long. RefSeq lists it as uncharacterized. The record is from RefSeq and is a predicted model, not a curated record. The transcript is spliced from 2 exons. Lineage: Eukaryota; Metazoa; Arthropoda; Insecta; Hemiptera; Aphididae.